AUUGAACGCUGGCGGCAUGCUUUACACAUGCAAGUCGAACGGUAACAGGCCUUCGGGUGCUGACGAGUGGCGAACGGGUGAGUAAUGCAUCGGAACGUGUCCAGAGGUGGGGGAUAACGCAGCGAAAGCUGUGCUAAUACCGCAUGUGAUCUGAGGAUGAAAGCGGGGGACCAGGCAGCAAUGUUUGGCCUCGCGCCUUUGGAGCGGCCGAUGUCAGAUUAGGUAGUUGGUGGGGUAAAGGCCUACCAAGCCGACGAUCUGUAGCUGGUCUGAGAGGACGACCAGCCACACUGGGACUGAGACACGGCCCAGACUCCUACGGGAGGCAGCAGUGGGGAAUUUUGGACAAUGGGCGCAAGCCUGAUCCAGCAAUGCCGCGUGCGGGAAGAAGGCCUUCGGGUUGUAAACCGCUUUUGUACGGAACGAAAAGGCUCUGGCUAAUACCUGGGGCUGAUGACGGUACCGUAAGAAUAAGCACCGGCUAACUACGUG
Molecule: ribosomal RNA, 492 nt
Filed under: uncultured bacterium
Lineage: Bacteria
Description: partial 16S ribosomal RNA
Rfam family: Bacterial small subunit ribosomal RNA
Source: RNAcentral